GACGAACGCUGGCGGCGUGCCUAAUACAUGCAAGUAGAACGCUGAAGGAGGAGCUUGCUUCUCUGGAUGAGUUGCGAACGGGUGAGUAACGCGUAGGUAACCUGCCCGGUAGCGGGGGAUAACUAUUGGAAACGAUAGCUAAUACCGCAUAAGAGUAGAUGUUGCAUGACAUUUGCUUAAAAGGUGCAAUUGCAUCACUACCAGAUGGACCUGCGUUGUAUUAGCUAGUUGGUGGGGUAACGGCUCACCAAGGCGACGAUACAUAGCCGACCUGAGAGGGUGGUCGGCCAGACUGGGACUGAGACACGGCCCAGAGUCCUACGGGAGGCAGCAGUAGGGAAUCUUCGGCAAGGGACGGAAGUCUGACCGAGCAACGCCGCGUGAGUGAAGAAGGUUGUCGUGUCGUAAAGCUCUGUUGUAAGAGAAGAACGAGUGUGAGAGUGGAAAGUUCACAGUGUGACGGUAUCUUACCAGAAAGGGACGGCUAACUACGUG
RNAcentral lists this ribosomal RNA (495 nucleotides) under uncultured bacterium. Its description in RNAcentral is "partial 16S ribosomal RNA". It matches the Rfam family "Bacterial small subunit ribosomal RNA", at positions 28 to 507 of the family's 1533-position model. The record is from RNAcentral.